CCUACGGGUGGCAGCAGUGAGGAAUAUUGGUCAAUGGCCGUAAGGCUGAACCAGCCAAGUAGCGUGAGGGAAGACUGCCCUAUGGGUUGUAAACCUCUUUUAUGCGGGGAUAAAGGUGUCCACGUGUGGCUGUUUGCAGGUACCGCAUGAAUAAGGACCGGCUAAUUCCGUGCCAGCAGCCGCGGUAAUACGGAAGGUCCGGGCGUUAUCCGGAUUUAUUGGGUUUAAAGGGAGCGUAGGCCGGUCUUUAAGCGUGCCGUGAAAUUUUGUGGCUCAACCAUGGGAGUGAGGCGCGAACUGGAGACCUUGAGUGCGCGGAAGGCAGGCGGAAGUCGGGGUGUAGCGGUGAAAUGCUUAGAUAUCACGAAGAACCCCGAUUGCGAAGGCAGCCUGCCGCAGCGUUACUGACGCUGAAGCUCGAAAGCGCGGGUAGCGAACAGGAUUAGAUACCCUGGUAGUC
This 460-nucleotide ribosomal RNA is filed under the name uncultured bacterium. RNAcentral's name for it is "partial 16S ribosomal RNA". It matches the Rfam family "Bacterial small subunit ribosomal RNA", at positions 338 to 795 of the family's 1533-position model. The record is from RNAcentral.